Alnus glutinosa is the source of this 622-nucleotide long non-coding RNA. RefSeq lists it as uncharacterized. NCBI's taxonomy places the organism in Eukaryota, Viridiplantae, Streptophyta, Magnoliopsida, Fagales, Betulaceae. The transcript is spliced from 3 exons. The record is from RefSeq and is a predicted model, not a curated record.
CAUAUCCCUUCCAUCAAAAUCUGAAAGUUAGCUUUCUUUUGCUGCCGCGCAAUCAAUCAUUACCACCGAAAGACAAAGCCAAUCGAUAUUACUCCAUUAUGCUCAGUACGUUUAUAAAACACUCCUAGCUCGCUGCUUUAUUCAUCUCCAUCGCCAUCCUUUUUCUCUCUCAAUCUUUCAACCUAAAAUCUCUGUUUUUUCGUUACCAAGAAAUCGUAAUCCAAGUCUCAAGGCCAUCAAAAUCCAGAAACUGAGCGUUAAACCCAUUUGGUGACAUUCCCACAUUUCUCACACUUCUCCCCUAAUAUUACCCCCCAAACCACGAUUUCUUUUCCAAUCUACCCUCGCCAUCCCUCUCUAUCUACCACUCUAUCAACCAUGGACCAAACCAUCAGUUUUAUACGAAGCCCGAAGCGGAACCGGGAGCCAAAAUCCAAAGGCAAAAAUGACGAGUCAAAAUACGACGUUGGUUCAGUUCCAUUUCCACUAGACGAUGUACACAGACACAAUCCUACCGACCGAGCCAAUAGGGAAGCUUGGGUUGAGGUGGUCAAAGCCAGAUGUGAAGUAGCCUCAUUGAACGAUGGGUGCCGAUGGUAUUACAGGGCCUGUUAUUUUGAAG